RNAcentral lists this ribosomal RNA (116 nucleotides) under Shewanella baltica. The record is from RNAcentral. Lineage: Bacteria; Pseudomonadati; Pseudomonadota; Gammaproteobacteria; Alteromonadales; Shewanellaceae.
CUUGGUGACAAUAGCUUUGUGGAACCACCUGAUCCCAUACCGAACUCAGAAGUGAAACGCAAACGCGCCGAUGGUAGUGUGGGGUCUCCCCAUGUGAGAGUAGGUCAUCGCCAAGC